Non-coding RNA from Pelobates cultripes (western spadefoot toad), 209 nucleotides. The record is from the annotation of a GenBank genome assembly. Lineage: Eukaryota; Metazoa; Chordata; Amphibia; Anura; Pelobatidae.
CCAGAAGCUGUGAGGCAUGUCAAGGUGUUGUUGGGCAUAUUGUGACCUGGCUUCUUUGUGGCAGUAAAGGCUUCUUUCUGGUAAUCCGACCAUGCAGCUCAUUUUUGUUCAAGUAUCGUCGCAUUGUGCUCCUUGAAACAACCACACCAUCUUUUUCCAGAGCAGCCUGUAUUUCUCUUGAGGUUACCCAUAUUUUUUUCUUUGUAUCC